Long non-coding RNA from Vespa mandarinia (Asian giant hornet), 1089 nucleotides. NCBI's taxonomy places the organism in Eukaryota, Metazoa, Arthropoda, Insecta, Hymenoptera, Vespidae. The record is from RefSeq and is a predicted model, not a curated record.
CUAUUACCAAAAAUGUUCCUCCUCCCUUCAGGUACCCAUCUAAAAAAGAAUAUCAUGAUUAAAUACAUCUAAAUUUUCGAAUCCUAGAAUCUCUUCUGGGAUCGUCAACGACGAAACCCCUAUUUAAGGAAUUUUUAGAUCGAGGGAGUCGUAUCUGUAACGUCCAACAAAAUUCUAAGACUUUUGUUUAAAUACUUUUUUCGAGAUUUUCUCAUUAACUUGACUGGAUUAUCGUGUACAAAAGGUUCUCAUGCUCCUGCGCAGAAAGUUCUCUUCUUAUGUAACGGUUUUCAGGACAAAUUAGCGAAGUACGAUGAGUCGGUUGAAAUAUGACGCGUUAAAUUUCGUAGGAAGCAUAAAUUCUCAGCGCCCGGUGGUUUGCGUGACUAAUGACGAUGCAUGAUAAACGAGACGGAUCGACAAAGUGCGCGGCAAAACAUCGAGAAUUCUCCUUGAUGGACGAGGUUUCUACUAGGCGGACGGGUGAUUAAGACGAAAGCUAAAACAAGCUUCCUAGGAAGAGGGAGAAAGAAAAACGAUAAAGUUCUUAGGCAUCUUUUACGAAUUUCCUGUUAAAGAAUCGAUGAUCUUGAUUCUUUAAGAGAUGUAAGACGUUGCAGAUGCGACCUCAAUGAGAAUAUACAUCACAUAGGCUUAGCCAGAGCUAGCUAUUAAGUCCACUCUUCCCCCUUUUUAAGAGCAGUAGGCAAAUUAAAGCACCGCAAGCAUUUUACAAAACCUCUCACGAGCGAUCUAUAGUUAAAGAGUAACGAGAACAUGAUUAAUUAUUCAUAUAUCUACGUUCUCGAAUUUAUUCAAGUUAACAUUACGCGUAAUAUACGUAAUGAUGCCGUCAAUGCAAAUCACUUUAUUACUUUUAAUUUAAUAUUCGUAAUUUUGAAUACUUCGUACCAAUUAGAACUAAUGUUUUUUUUUUCUUGCAUCGACGACAUCCUUGCCAACUUAUUCAGUUAGAUGACCGAAAUCUUUUUUUUAGAGAGACGUACGAGAGAGAAACUCCUCGCUCUUCGUUCCCUCUCGUCGUCUCGAUUCAAGCGCGAUUUAUUAUUAAAAAAAAAGAAGAAAAAA